Molecule: long non-coding RNA, 2824 nt
Filed under: Vigna radiata
Lineage: Eukaryota; Viridiplantae; Streptophyta; Magnoliopsida; Fabales; Fabaceae
Description: long non-coding RNA (VRAD_LNC011152)
Source: RNAcentral
AAAUCUUGAUCAAAUGAUGAACACCAAAUCGUGUAGAAUAUGAUAACCCAAUAAGCCCAAAAUUAUUUCUCCCUCAAAACCUCCUCAAAGAAAGAUUUCCUCUGUCUUCUUGAUGAGUUCUUGGAGUGUUUAAUCACAGGAUCUUAAUCUGAAACAACAAAUGAAAAUGUCAGUUCAACCAAAGUCGUUGUGAUCAACAGAAUCACGUCUAUUUAUAGUUUUCUAUAAAUCAGACGCUCAUGUAGUCGACUGUGCUACUAAUGAUGUCGACUGUCACCAGACAAUUAUAACAGUUAAGUCAAUUAGCAGCAAUCAUAACAACCAAAUUGAUUUCGCAUUUAAUACAAUUGACUUUCUUUUAAUGCUUUAACAGACAAUUGAAAUAUAGUCGUUACAAUAAAAAAGCAUUAACUGAAAUUCAAAACAAAUAACUAACUAAGUCGGAUCCACUGCGCAUGUAGUUGACUUAGACACUUCAAAUCUUUGAAAAUCUUUUCAAUGCAAAAUCACUCACAUCAUUACUUUUGAAAAUUUGUGCAAAGUCACGAGUUUUAAUCGACUUACUUCAUAAUGAAGUCGACUUAAAACUUGCAGUUAUGCCACACAAUAUAAGUUCAUCAGAAUGCAUGUAGUUUUCUUUUCAUAAACAUAUGUAAUGCAAUCAUAAGUGAUUUAUCAAGUAUAAGAUCAGUGAAUAUGCAUACAUAUAUGAGAAUCAACACAAACAUGUUCAUUAAGAUAUAAUCCACAAUAAAGAAUAGAACAUGUAACACAUAACAAUACAUGUGUUAUUAAUAAUGUGUUGUCAUCAUAAAAAACCAGAGCAUGUGAGAUUAAGGUUUAGCUAAACCAAUGCUUCCCUUAUCAAAAAUCUCAACAAUCUCCCCCUUUUUUUGAUGACGCACAACCAUGAUUAGUAAGCAACCAUGUUUGUACACAAACAACACAUAAAAUCAGUCAAGUAAUCACUAAUGUCAGAGCUAAUAUAAGCAAUGAGUAAGAGCAAGUGAUUAAAUGAUUUUUCCAAUGUAUCAGAGCAAGCAAAAGUUAAUCCUAAGAAGACUACACCGCAGCAUCAGCAUCCUCUAGUACUUUCUCCAGAGGCACCUCCUUAACAUCUGCUCACAUAAAAAUGGGUGAUCAUCGCAAAGGAGAAACAUACACAAGUAGCACACAACACAGAUGAGAUAGAUAGACAAACAACAUACAUAUAGCACAAUCAAUAAAUAUCAUCAUGUUUAGUUACCUAUAAAAAGAACAAUCAAGGCAUACCAUUUAAACCAUGCAUUAAGUACUCAACACGACUCAUCCAUAUUUGUAUAAUUGUCGAACUAUUAGUCGUCUUUGCACUUGCAUAGUUCAGCUGGCCCUCCCCAACACUAUGCAAGGUAAAUCCUCAUACCAGUCUAUGUCUAAACUCUAAGACUAUAGACGAGGACCUUCCUCUAUUCUCACCACUUACACCGUUCUUCUCUAUUUGAGCAUGAACAGUGUUUUGAGUGUAGGGAUAGGCUUACCGUUUCAAAGCUCCAUACAAUUAUACAAGACAACAACACAAUCUCUGCAUCCAAUUCAUCUCGCCCUAAGAUAUCCAGUUCAUACUCAAUUUCAUCAUUCCAAUUCACAAUCAUAUUCUUUCAAGCCACAUAAUUCAAAGAUAUGGACAUACAUGACACUCUGUCAAUCAUACAACAUCAAAUAAUCCAAACAGAAGAAGAAAAAAAGUGAAACUCACUUAGCCUGGUCGCAUAGCGCACCUGGGCGCACAGCGAAACCAAGCGAUUUCGUAGAGCGCACCCUCUCCCCCUCGCCUUGCGAAUUAUCCAACAAGGGGGAGCCCUGCAGAGUUAUUUGCAUAACGCACCCAGUGCGCUAAGCGAAUGCCCUGGCAGAGAGCUUCUCGCCAGGACGACUCGCUAUGCGAAUCCUCUCGCACAGAGAGUCUGCAUAAUCUGCAGAAUGAAAUUCUAUAGAUUUAUGCAACUUAACCACUGAAACCUCGUUCUAGACCUUUUUCCUUAACUUCUAAUGAUCCUAGAUCAUGGUGUAAGCUUAAUUAAACUUGCCUAGAUGAUUCUAAACAUUUUUAACAUCAUUCUUUAGUGUUUAUGCACAGAUUUCUGCUCUAAAACCUCUAUUUCCUCAACUUAGAGCCUUAAAUCUUAAACUACCACUUUGAACCUAUUUUUAACCAAUUUUAUGAUCUUAAUAAGUCAGAAUAGACUUUCUAACACUAUCCCAUCAGCACUUUAACACCUUAGACCCCAAUCACUCCAAUUCAUUACCUCACAUCCCCAAUUAGCCUAAAACACUUAAUUCAUCAACAAGGGGACCCAAUUUUAAUUCUCCUACCUAGAACAUGAUUUUAACUAGUUUGACCCUCCUAAUAAGUCGUAAUACGCCUGCUAACACUACCCUAACAGCCCAAUUACACCUCAGACCCCAAUUACCCAGAAUCACCUUCUCACUUCCGCUAAACUCCCUUAAAGCACUAAAAAUAUAUUUAAACUAUUACUGACUAACUGGUAUAACCUGUGUCACCUCAUUAACAAGCCCAAUUUCAGCAUAACAUCAUACCAAAUUCAAGUUAUAACCAUUCAUACACAAUUUCAAAUUUCAACAUACAAGAAGUACAUGCUUGAUCAUACAAACAUACCGAAAUUUUCACUGAAACAACACCAUAACACCAAACACCAUGCAUACCUAUAUAGUUUUAGAAUUAAAUAAAGAUCUAGCUCCCCUUACCUUAGGGUUGAGCAGUCCAGUACACAGAACAACUUCUCUAGUGCCCUUCCCGGAGAAGAACCGAAACAAUGCUCUACAA